UCGUAGGGCUACAGAGAUUGAGCUUGAUACCAUGGAGGGUUUUGCGUCAAGGGAAAAGCUCCACCAUCAUCUCAACGACCAAGGUUGGUUAGGGUUUCUGUUUUUUUUUCUGUUUUUUCUUUUUCUCCUUCCCCAGUUGAAAAUUCUCUUUGGUAUGUGCUAGUUCUCUCUCCAGCUUCUCAUUUUUUAAGAUUAAUUGUUAGUGGAAAUAGGUUUUAGAUUCAUUGAAAUGUUCUCUUUUGCUUCCUUUUCUCUAAUGAGCAUUAUCCGUUCUAUUUCAUAUCUAAUUUAUAUGAUCUGAUUCUCUUUUUGUUUAUUGGGUUUUAUGUGUUAAUCUGUGAUAAAAAUAAGUUCACUUUUUUGUGCAGGUUUCUUGACUUGAAGUUUAGUUUGUCUAUCAUAUUUAGAGAUAAUAAACGAGUCUCUGGGAGGUAUGCAAUGAGCUUUAAGUAGGUCAAUUAAUAGAUCCCAUGAAUCCAAGUGCACCACUUGCAUGAGUUGGAUGAAGUUGUGGGUUACAUGAGCCUGUGUUACCCUUUUGGGCUAACUGCCUCGGUUCUGUUUGGAAGACAUCAUAAGGCCAUAUUACAAUCUCCAAAAAAAACUUUCCUUGUUCUUGUUUGCUUUAACUUCAUCAGCCUCCAGAUCUAAUAUUAAUUUUUCUCUUAGAUUCAGAAAUUGAUAAAUCUCUUAAACAAGGUUUAUCCCAUUUUUUUCUUCAGUAGUGUAGAAAGACAUGUUGCCAAUGUAUACGGUUGUUGAAUUUUGGAGUGCGUGUUCAUAUUCUUAUUGUGUUCCUGGAAACCUUUUGUCACGAUACGCUGAAAUCUUUGUUGGAUCCUGUAACAUUAACAUAGGUAAUGAAUAGAAUGCACACUGAUAAGUGAUAUUGGUAAUUUAGUAAUUUUAAAAAUAGGAAAAAUAUUGGAUAUUACCUUGAACAGCAACGCCAUUGCACCUUAUCUGAAAAUGAAGACAAGUAGUAUAUUGUGUUGUUACUCUCGAGUUAAUAGUUACACAUGCUUAUAGAAACAAAUCUGAUGAUGUUUAAAUUAGUAUGACUAUCACAUUUGUUGCAUGAAAUUAUUCUUACAGAACCAACUCUGAUGAUGUUUAAAUUAGAUGAGAAGCUGAAGUUGAUAGAAUCUCGUCUGGAAAGCAAAAAUUGAGGGCCCACUUCAGGCUUACAUCCUCGUUGACGUACAUCACGUGAUAUUCCUCCGGUGUGGAGUUAAGAAUUUGGGGGUUUCUUUCAAGAAGCAAGUAAAAUGUACAGCAACUAAAGUUUACUUGGUCUCAAAUUCUUCUUGCCCAGGUUCCAAUGGCUCCAAAACAGCCAAACACAGGACUCUUUGUGGGUCUAAAUAAAGGGCAUGUUGUCACCAAGAAGGAAUUAGCACCUCGUCCUUCCGACAGAAAAGGGGCUUAUCAAGAUAUUCUCUAGCUUUGAGAGCUGCAUAAGGCUAAUGAUUAAAAAAAGAAAAAAUGGAGAUUCUAAAGAUCAUCAUCCAAAUGCACCAAAAUUUAGAGUAAGAUCGAACCACUAUUAAUGAAGGUAUUCUACUGGGCUAGGAUGCUUGUUGCUUGGAUAUGGAGCCAUGGAAGAACUUGGACCCUUCCGUGUUAACAGUGAUGGAAAAACACUCUACCCCAACCACUAUGCAUGGAACAAUGGUGCAUGCCUAACCCUAUAAAACCUUUGCUUUUGAGGUACUAACUGUUUUCUCCUGGAAUUUUUUUUGCCUGAGAUUUUUUGCUGCCAGCUAUCCCUUCGGGACCACUCUUAUGUAUUAUGUUAAAAGCACCAAUUCAGAAAUUUGCUGAUUAUCUUUUAGGUGUUGGUGUCAAGCUUGUUGGCAAUACAGUGUGGAGUACCCUCUUUCAUCAAUUCUUAAUAGUGAUGUCACGUGAGAAAUCAUUUUUCUUUUUGUUAAACAAGUCUUUAUUAUCAUGUAUUAGGUCAUACCAUGGGUAAAAACAGCCUUGCCCCUGGUUCCGGGGUUGUCACAAAAUACUUGACUUUUUAACUUUGUUUGUGGUUUCAUUUAGUAAUAAUCCUUCUGAGGGGGUGUUUGUUGGGCUGCUUCUUUCAAUGUCA
This is a non-coding RNA of Lactuca sativa (garden lettuce), 2098 nucleotides long. The record is from RefSeq and is a predicted model, not a curated record. Lineage: Eukaryota; Viridiplantae; Streptophyta; Magnoliopsida; Asterales; Asteraceae.